UCCGGUUUGUCACCGGCAGUCCCAUUAGAGUGCCCAACUGAAUGUAGCAACUAAUGGCAAGGGUUGCGCUCGUUGCGGGACUUAACCCAACAUCUCACGACACGAGCUGACGACAGCCAUGCAGCACCUGUGUUGCGGUUCCCUUUCGGGCACCAAGACAUCUCUGUCCCGUUCCGCACAUGUCAAGGGUAGGUAAGGUUUUUCGCGUUGCAUCGAAUUAAUCCACAUAAUCCACCGCUUGUGCGGGUCCCCGUCAAUUCCUUUGAGUUUUAGCCUUGCGGCCGUACUCCCCAGGCGGUCAACUUCACGCGUUAGCUGCGGUACUAAGGAAGGUGGGGAUGACGUUUACGUGCACUU
This 357-nucleotide unclassified non-coding RNA is filed under the name uncultured Gammaproteobacteria bacterium. Its description in RNAcentral is "contains 16S-23S intergenic spacer region". The record is from RNAcentral. Lineage: Bacteria; Pseudomonadati; Pseudomonadota; Gammaproteobacteria.